UAAAGCGAUUCAGCGGGUUACGAUUGACGGAGCGAAGCGACGUCAAAGCGUAUACAAAGUCGAGUCGGUUUAAGGAUACGUUCGUUGGGUAGGGGAGCGUUCUGUAAGCCCGUGAAGGUGGCCUGUGAGGGUUGCUGGAGGUAUCAGAAGUGCGAAUGCUGACAUAAGUAACGAUAAAGCGGGUGAAAAGCCCGCUCGCCGGAAGACCAAGGGUUCCUGUCCAACGUUAAUCGGGGCAGGGUGAGUCGACCCCUAAGGCGAGGCCGAAAGGCGUAGUCGAUGGGAAACGGGUUAAUAUUCCCGUACUUGGUGUUACUGCGAAGGGGGGACGGAGAAGGCUAUGUUGGCCGGGCGACGGUUGUCCCGGUUUAAGCGUGUAGGUGUGUGUUCCAGGUAAAUCCGGUUCACUUUAACACUGAGGCGUGACGACGAGGCACUACGGUGCUGAAGCAACAAAUGCCCUGCUUCCAGGAAAAGCCUCU
RNAcentral lists this ribosomal RNA (482 nucleotides) under Salmonella enterica subsp. enterica. RNAcentral describes it as "partial 23S ribosomal RNA". It matches the Rfam family "Bacterial large subunit ribosomal RNA", at positions 1163 to 1622 of the family's 2925-position model. Lineage: Bacteria; Pseudomonadati; Pseudomonadota; Gammaproteobacteria; Enterobacterales; Enterobacteriaceae. The record is from RNAcentral.